AAUGAACGCUGGCGGUAGGCCUAACACAUGCAAGUCGAACGGCAGCACAGGAGAGCUUGCUCUCUGGGUGGCGAGUGGCGGACGGGUGAGGAAUACAUCGGAAUCUACUUUUUCGUGGGGGAUAACGUAGGGAAACUUACGCUAAUACCGCAUACGACCUACGGGUGAAAGCAGGGGACCUUCGGGCCUUGCGCGAUUGAAUGAGCCGAUGUCGGAUUAGCUAGUUGGCGGGGUAAAGGCCCACCAAGGCGACGAUCCGUAGCUGGUCUGAGGGGGUGAUCAGCCACACUGGAACUGAUACACGGUCCAGACGCCUACGGGAGGCAGCAGUAGGGAAUAUUGGACAAUGGGCGCAAGCCUGAUCCAGCCAUACCACGUGGGUGAAGAAGGCCUUCGGGUUGUAAAGCCCUUUUGUUGGGAAAGAAAUCCAGCUGGCUAAUACCCGGUUGGGAUGACGGUACCCAAAGAAUAAGCACCGGCUAACUUCGUGCCAGCCGCCGCGGUAA
Molecule: ribosomal RNA, 506 nt
Filed under: uncultured bacterium
Lineage: Bacteria
Description: partial 16S ribosomal RNA
Rfam family: Bacterial small subunit ribosomal RNA
Source: RNAcentral